This 253-nucleotide ribosomal RNA is filed under the name uncultured bacterium. RNAcentral's name for it is "partial 16S ribosomal RNA". It matches the Rfam family "Bacterial small subunit ribosomal RNA", at positions 524 to 776 of the family's 1533-position model. The record is from RNAcentral.
UACGAAGGGGGCUAGCGUUGCUCGGAAUCACUGGGCGUAAAGCGCACGUAGGCAGACUCUUAAGUCGGACGUGAAAUCCCUCGGCUCAACCGAGGAACUGCGUCCGAUACUGAAAGGCUUGAAUCCGGGAGAGGGAUGUGGAAUUCCAGGUGUAGCGGUGAAAUGCGUAGAUAUCUGGAGGAACACCGGUGGCGAAGGCGGCAUCCUGGACCGGCAUUGACGCUGAGGCGCGAAAGCUAGGGGAGCAAACGGG